AUAUCCCUCCCCUCUACGUUCACUUACUUUUCCGACGUAAAAUCCGUCAUCCGCUAAUCACUGAAUCAAUUACGGAUGACUUGCCAAACAAACUCCAUCUCGAACCAAGAAAAAUCGAGAUUCGGUCACGCGUUUUCAAGCUGUCUUAGUUUCCUAUUUUGAGUUCAAUCAUCGGCCUAAAUUAGACGAGAUUCCUAAGCGAUAAACUGCGUCUGGAGACCUAUAAGUAGAGGUGGUGCUUACUCGUUACGAACACGCCUCUCACCUUUCUGUUCCUCACCCCAAAUCGGCCCCUUUUGUCAAGUUCCGCCGCCGCCGCAAGUACUCCGACGAAACCAGUAACCAUCGAACUGAUUGAGGAUUUGCAACAUUUAUUCCUCUCGUGCGGGUUACUUACGGCCUUCCUAUCGCAAUUAAGGUUACAAGAAAAUCAAGGAAGACUUGGAAAAGGGCUAGGGAGAAUAAAAGACUCACAGGAAUUUUCAUAAAAAUUUACCAUGACUUGUGUUUUUUUAUUGAAAUAAGAGUGAAUUGCAAGUUUUGUCCUUUAUCUUUAGGCCAUUUUGCAAGUUUUGUCCUUUAUGUUUAAAUUUGAUGAGUUUUGUCCUUUAUGUUUGAA
Helianthus annuus (common sunflower) is the source of this 619-nucleotide long non-coding RNA. RefSeq lists it as uncharacterized. The record is from RefSeq and is a predicted model, not a curated record. The transcript has 3 exons. Lineage: Eukaryota; Viridiplantae; Streptophyta; Magnoliopsida; Asterales; Asteraceae.